AAGUCGUAGUGGUUGCGAGUACGAAUUGUUACUCGAAAGGUUUCGAGGUGGCGUAUCCCGGGGCGUGUCUCACAAAAAAACCCUGCCGAUGCGCCGGAUCCUAGAGGUCCAGGCGUCGGAACCCCGAACAGCUCUC
This 136-nucleotide unclassified non-coding RNA is filed under the name fungal sp. RNAcentral's name for it is "partial internal transcribed spacer region". The record is from RNAcentral. Lineage: Eukaryota; Fungi.